Lagenorhynchus albirostris (white-beaked dolphin) is the source of this 872-nucleotide long non-coding RNA. RefSeq lists it as uncharacterized. The transcript has 3 exons. Lineage: Eukaryota; Metazoa; Chordata; Mammalia; Artiodactyla; Delphinidae. The record is from RefSeq and is a predicted model, not a curated record.
CCCUCCGGCUUCCGGGUCGUGGCCAUCGAGCACCUCCAGCUCCACGGCGAAGGGCGUCUGUACGUCCCGCUUCACCAGCCGCAGCAAGGGCUUCUCGGGCUCUAAAGCCCAGAGGAGCCCCAUGGGCUCGAGGCCCGUGAAGCUGCCGCCCAGCGCGGGCGCGCGCUCGAGGUCCAGCUGGCCGUGGGCGUCGGCGCAGUAGCGCGCGUGGGCUCGGAAGAGCUCGUCCUUCUCGUCGCGCAGGGACGCGCGCAGCGUGACCGGUUGUCCCGGGGCCAGGCCGCGCACGGCGAUGCGCACGGGCUCGUCCCAGCGGCAGCGGCCCGCAGGCUCCAGCGUCACCGUCGCCGCCAUCUGGAUCCCAGCAGAGAAGGGGCGGCCCGGCGGAGUCAAGGGUAGGGCCUGGCGUCUCUCCACCUCCCUGGGAGGCAGUCGCAAUUGGAACGUUUGCGCUACUCCCGUUGGGCGGCCGAAGGGACACUUGCUAAACCGCUUUGUGAAGUCUCCCGGAGUUUGUGCAGUCCACUACUGCCUGCCUGGAAGAGUAUCUGCUAAAAUAAGAGUUUUAUGGUUUCAACUCAGAGGGUGGAACCAAGAGCUACAGAGAACAACUCACAGAGAGUAAACUGAGCACCAAUGGAAGAAUUGGCAACAUGUUCUCAGCUGGAUUUCAGAAUGGCUAGGGGCCAGUGAGUGUCGUGCGCCUCCCAUAUUCCCCAUUAUUGAACAGGAAUAUCUGUAAGGACACAGGAAGAAGGCAGCCGUCUGUAAGCCAGGAAGAGGCGCCACCAGGAACUGAAUCUGCCAGAACGUUGAUCUUGGACUUCCCAGCCUCCAGAACUGUGAGAAAUAAAUGUCUGUUGUUUAAGCCA